RNAcentral lists this ribosomal RNA (442 nucleotides) under uncultured bacterium. Its description in RNAcentral is "partial 16S ribosomal RNA". It matches the Rfam family "Bacterial small subunit ribosomal RNA", at positions 338 to 795 of the family's 1533-position model. The record is from RNAcentral.
CCUACAGGUGGCAGCAGUGGGGAAUAUUGGGCAAUGGGCGCAAGCCUGACCCAGCAAUGCCGCGUGAAGGAAGAAGGCUUUCGGGUUGUAAACUUCUUUGACAGGGGAAGAGCAGAAGACGGUACCCUGAAAACAAGCCACGGCUAACUACGUCCCAGCAGCCGCGGUAAUACGUAGGUGGCAAGCGUUGUCCGGAUUUACUGGGUGGAAAGGGCGUGUAGCCGGGAAGGCAAGUCUGAUGGGAAACCCGGAGGCUCAACCUCCGAAUUGCAUUUGAAACUGUUUUUCUGUAGUACUGGAGAGGCAGACGGAAUUCCUUGUGUAGCGGUGAAAUGCGUAGAGAUAAGGAGGAACACCAGUGGCGAAGGCGGUCUGCUGGACAGCAACUGACGGUGAGGCGCGAAAGCGUGGGGAGCAAACAGGAUUAGAUACCCCAGUAGUC